GAUGAACGCUGGCGGUCUGCUUAACACAUGCAAGUCGAACGGAAUCCUUCGGGAUUUAGUGGCGGACGGGUGAGUAACACGUGAGAAUCUGCACUCAGGAUGGGGAAAACAGCGGGAAACUGCUGCUAAUACCCAAUCAGCGGAAAGGUAACAGAUUUAUCGCCCGAGAAUGAGACCGCGGCCGAUUAGUUAGUUGGUGGGGUACUGGCCUACCAAGACGGCGAUCGGUAGCUGGUUUGAAGGUAUGAGCAGCCACACGGGGACUGAGACACGGCCCAGACUCCUGCGGGAGGCAGCAGUGGGGAAUUUUCCGCAAUGGGCGCAAGCCUGACGGAGCAAGACCGCGUGGGGGAGGAAGGCUCUUGGGUUGUAAACCCCUUUUCUCAGGGAAGAAGUUCUGACGGUACCUGAGGAAUCAGCCUCGGCUAACUCCGUACCAGCCGCCGCCGUAA
This 452-nucleotide ribosomal RNA is filed under the name uncultured bacterium. RNAcentral describes it as "partial 16S ribosomal RNA". It matches the Rfam family "Bacterial small subunit ribosomal RNA", at positions 28 to 523 of the family's 1533-position model. The record is from RNAcentral.